This 405-nucleotide ribosomal RNA is filed under the name uncultured Ilumatobacter sp. RNAcentral describes it as "bacterial SSU rRNA". It matches the Rfam family "Bacterial small subunit ribosomal RNA", at positions 355 to 776 of the family's 1533-position model. The record is from RNAcentral. Lineage: Bacteria; Bacillati; Actinomycetota; Acidimicrobiia; Acidimicrobiales; Ilumatobacteraceae.
UGGGGAAUCUUGCACAAUGGGCGAAAGCCUGAUGCAGCAACGCCGCGUGCGGGAUGAAGGCCUUAGGGUUGUAAACCGCUUUCAGCAGGGAAGAAAAUGACGGUACCUGUAGAAGAAGGUGCGGCCAACUACGUGCCAGCAGCCGCGGUGAUACGUAGGCACCAAGCGUUGUCCGGAUUUAUUGGGCGUAAAGAGCUCGUAGGCGGUUCGGUAAGUCGGGUGUGAAAACUCUGGGCUCAACCCAGAGAGGCCACCCGAUACUGCCGUGACUGGAGUGCGGUAGGGGAGUGGGGAAUUCCUGGUGUAGCGGUGAAAUGCGCAGAUAUCAGGAGGAACACCAGUGGCGAAGGCGCCACUCUGGGCCGUAACUGACGCUGAGGAGCGAAAGCGUGGGUAGCAAACAGG